Molecule: ribosomal RNA, 119 nt
Filed under: Pteropus alecto (black flying fox)
Lineage: Eukaryota; Metazoa; Chordata; Mammalia; Chiroptera; Pteropodidae
Source: RNAcentral
GUCUACAGCCAUGCCACCCUGAACAAGCCCAGUCCCGUCUGAUCUCAGAAGCUAACCAGGGUCGGGCCUGGUUAGUAUUUGGAUGAGGGACCACCUAGGAAGACCAGGUGUUAUAGGCA